AUGGCGACGGACAAGUUGACCAUAUACCUGCACUAUGAAGAUACAAAUCAGGAAGCCAAAAUUUUACAAAGAUCCAUGAUGAGACGUGAUGUCUCGUAUUACGACUUAAUCUUGAUGAUCGAAGAAGUUGGCUUUCAGGCAAUUGACUUUCUGUACUAUGCAAAAAAAACCCGUCUAGGCAGCUCCUACUUAGUUCACAUUUAUGAUGAAGGUCUUGUGAUGAAAAUGUUGUCCGACCCUGAGAUUGUGAAAGCUGUCCAUCUGUAUGUGUCUAAGGAGAAGGCUGACGAUCAUAUUGCUCCGCCUAGCAAGCAAAUUGAUGUUGCUCCAUCUAACCAUCCAAAUGAGAGUGUUCUCUUACAGGACGGUGGUGUCUCUGCUGAAGCGGCAGGGCAACUUACUACGCAAGGGCCGCAAAGACCACCACGUAGGUCAAAAAGGUUGAAUGUGAUUCAGGUUACGGACCAACGUGAUGAUGAAGAUGGAGACUGCAACAAUGGUGAGCAAUUCCCACAAGGUCAUGAAUCACAAGCAUUGGUCGGUGAAGAGGGUCAAGUUCACAAUCAAGUAGACAAAGAAGUACGCAAGCGCAAGAGAACAAGCUUGCCAAUUGUCUGGAACAUGCCAAAGGGGCAGAGAAUAGUUGUGAAAUGCAAUGAAGAUAGCCAGCCUAUAGGAGAUGAAGGUGCAAUCUUGGGGAAGUUUCUGGGCACGGUUGCUAGAAAUGGAGGAUUUUGCCCACUAAACAUAAAUGAUUGGCGUCAUGUCAAAAAGAAUAGUGGUGAGGAAACAAUAUUGCAGUGCGUACAGACAAAGUUCGUGUAUCCUCGAUCAUGUGAAAAAUGGAUACUCAAAUCAAUUGGAAGAGACUGGAGGAAAUUUAAGUCUAGUUUGAAAGAUGCUUUCUUCAAACCCGCCAUUGAAAAAAAUCCAAACAUCAAGCGAAAGGCUUUGUAUAAGCUCUGUCCAGAAGAUGUGGACGACGUCAAUGGUGUGGGCUUGUUAAAUAUUGGAAGUCCAAAAAAGGAAGGGACCUUGCUGAGAAGAACAUAA
This 1053-nucleotide ribosomal RNA is filed under the name Triticum aestivum (bread wheat). RNAcentral's name for it is "partial small subunit ribosomal RNA". The record is from RNAcentral. Lineage: Eukaryota; Viridiplantae; Streptophyta; Magnoliopsida; Poales; Poaceae.